RNAcentral lists this ribosomal RNA (253 nucleotides) under uncultured bacterium. RNAcentral describes it as "partial 16S ribosomal RNA". It matches the Rfam family "Bacterial small subunit ribosomal RNA", at positions 524 to 776 of the family's 1533-position model. The record is from RNAcentral.
UACAGAGGGUGCAAGCGUUAAUCGGAGUUACUGGGCGUAAAGAGCACGUAGGCGGUUGAAUAAGUUAGUUGUGAAAGCCCUGGGCUUAACCUGGGACCUGCAAUUAAGACUGUAUGACUAGAGUCGAAGAGAGGGAAGCGGAAUUUCCGGUGUAGCGGUGAAAUGCGUAGAUAUCGGAAGGAACAUCAGUGGCGAAGGCGGCUUCCUGGCUUCAGACUGACGCUGAGGUGCGAAAGCGUGGGGAGCGAACAGG